GCUCAGAGUAUAAGCCAAUGGAGCUUGGAAGGCUUCCGCAAACCCGGGCAUCACACGUGGUGUUCGACAGACCAGGGCGAUGGUUCGUCAGGAGCAGCAUUGAGUUUGCCAAGCUUCCCCCGUGCGGGGAGGUCGUCUCGGGGUCCGACGCCUCGGCCGAGGAUUGCCCCGGGACGCCUUCUUGAGAAUGGACGUUCAUAGCUUCUGGUCUAAUGCGGUAUUUGCCCACCACGGCACGUUGUGAGGUCACCCACAGGCUCAAACUGCCGAGCGUGAAUCCAGGACGAUGGCAACGAUGCGUUUUUGGUGCGUGUGCGAGAGUUGCGCGCACGACGCGUGUCUAGUCCUGGGUCAGGCGGCGACCGAGAUAAACCUGGUAUGAUCCUCUUGCGACGAGCUGCUUUCUGGCCAGUCCGACGCCCAGGCGCUUCCACUGUGCCGGAAGUGUCAACCCCAGGCGGUCUGUUCCCUGCUGCGUUUUGCAAGGUCUCUCACAGCCGGGCGUUGGACUGAGUGGUGUUCAAUCCAGCACCAUCGGUCACGUCUCGAAACACGGGCCAAGGAGUAUAGCAUGUGUGCAAGUCUAAGGGUCUCUCAAAACCCGCAGGCGAAGUGAAAGCGAGACUGAGGCGGGGGAGCUACGGCGAACCCGCCGGCCUUGUCGCGCGCGCGCGCGCGCGCGCUCGCGCGUUGUGUGUGCGUUGCGUGGCUGGCUUACAACAGAGCUGAUCCUGCUUACAUGGGCAAAUCUUUGUGCAGGCGCAAGCUCCGGGCUCACGUACAAACACCGGUGACGCCUCGCGCGUGGCUGUGUUGUGAGCACCGUGGAGCAUGCAUGCUAU
RNAcentral lists this ribosomal RNA (842 nucleotides) under Haploginglymus geos. RNAcentral describes it as "partial 28S ribosomal RNA". The record is from RNAcentral. Lineage: Eukaryota; Metazoa; Arthropoda; Malacostraca; Amphipoda; Niphargidae.